GUGAAGCCUCAAUGAAAACACGGCCCUUGAAACCAGAAAGUCCUGGUACCUUGAUGGAUUGUUUCCAACCCUGAGAACGACAGCUUUAAAGUUUGCAAUAAGAAACAACAAAAUGGAAAGUCAUGAGGCAAGGAUGAACAGCAACAGCCUCCUGUCUCCUUCACUGUCUGAACAAAACGAAGGGACGCAGCAACAGGAGAUUCAAAAUACCAGAUGAAGACAGGUCCUCUACUGGGAGCUUCCGGGCCUCUGGAAUGAGGAACAUAAUUUCCGCUCCGGAGAAGGCUUAUACAAACUCAGGACUGGGAUUACAUCAGAUGCAGUGAGACCACAAAUAUUACUUCUGAGAGGGCUGACGGAGUCCUGCAUGUGAGAACGUUCCACUGAGGACAAGCUUUCCUAACUGCAAGGCCAGUCCCUGGGUGCAAGCACUCCCACCACUCUGGGGUUUGCUCCAGGCAGUCACAAUACUCUGUACAAGUCAAGCUCACCCUGGGAGUAGCAGCUACAUCACUUUGCAUUUGUAAAGAAAACUUUUUUC
This is a long non-coding RNA of Fukomys damarensis (Damara mole-rat), 541 nucleotides long. RefSeq lists it as uncharacterized. Lineage: Eukaryota; Metazoa; Chordata; Mammalia; Rodentia; Bathyergidae. The record is from RefSeq and is a predicted model, not a curated record. The transcript is spliced from 3 exons.